RNAcentral lists this ribosomal RNA (425 nucleotides) under uncultured bacterium. RNAcentral describes it as "partial 16S ribosomal RNA". It matches the Rfam family "Bacterial small subunit ribosomal RNA", at positions 354 to 796 of the family's 1533-position model. The record is from RNAcentral.
GUGGGGAAUAUUGGACAAUGGGCGAAAGCCUGAUCCAGCCAUGCCGCGUGAGUGAUGAAGGCCUUAGGGUUGUAAAGCUCUUUUGUCCGGGAAGAUAAUGACUGUACCGGAAGAAUAAGCCCCGGCUAACUUCGUGCCAGCAGCCGCGGUAAUACGAAGGGGGCUAGCGUUGCUCGGAAUCACUGGGCGUAAAGGGCGCGUAGGCGGACUUUUAAGUCGGAGGUGAAAGCCCAGGGCUCAACCCUGGAAUUGCCUUCGAUACUGGGAGUCUUGAGUUCGGAAGAGGAUGGUGGAACUGCGAGUGUAGAGGUGAAAUUCGUAGAUAUUCGCAAGAACACCGGUGGCGAAGGCGGCCAACUGGUCCGAAACUGACGCUGAGGCGCGAAAGCGUGGGGAGCAAACAGGAUUAGAAACCCUGGUAGUCC